GGCUACUUUGAUGAAGGAUUAGUGGUCCCUCUUCCAAAAGGAGUCUUCCUCACUCAGGGAAACAUCGACUAUCAAAAUGGCUUCCUGGUGAUCGGAGGGAACCUGAAGCUGACUCCUGCAGGGAGGAAGAACGUGGUGAGAGGAUUUGGUAAAAAGACAGAGCUGUGACUGUGAAGAAUCUCAGCAGCUCAGUGAUGAACCCAACUCCUUCCUGUUUCUGAUUUCAGUCUUACAGUUCAGAUACUGUGGCACCAGUAAAGGUACCAGCAGAAAUACUGUUAGCAGUCAGAGCUCCGUAAUCUGCUGCAGGUUUUUAAUUUUACUAGUUUCUGAUUCUUUCUCUGCAAUAAAAAGCUUCAGCAUCA
Long non-coding RNA from Lates calcarifer (barramundi perch), 365 nucleotides. RefSeq lists it as uncharacterized. The transcript has 2 exons. Lineage: Eukaryota; Metazoa; Chordata; Actinopteri; Centropomidae. The record is from RefSeq and is a predicted model, not a curated record.